CGUGUAGGCGGCUUGCCAAGUCCGAUGUGAAAUCUCGGGGCUCAACCCCGAAACUGCAUUGGAAACUGGCUUGCUAGAGUCCGGAAGAGGAGAGUGGAAUUCCUGGUGUAGCGGUGAAAUGCGCAGAUAUCAGGAAGAACACCGGUGGCGAAGGCGGCUCUCUGGGACGGUACUGACGCUGAGACGCGAAAGCGUGGGUAGCGAACA
RNAcentral lists this ribosomal RNA (207 nucleotides) under uncultured bacterium. Its description in RNAcentral is "partial 16S ribosomal RNA". It matches the Rfam family "Bacterial small subunit ribosomal RNA", at positions 568 to 774 of the family's 1533-position model. The record is from RNAcentral.